GGAGCCUGGGCGGUGGGGGCGGGGCCGGCGGGGCAGCGAGCCCCCCGCCCUCCACCACCGCUCCCGCACCUGCGGCUGCACCGUGAGCCCCGAACCCGGGUGCUGCGGCUCCCCGCGCCCGCCGCCAGCCCGCCCCGUCGCGCCGCAGCCCUCCCAGCCGCCCUCCCAGCCGCCCCUCGCCACUGCCCUCUGCUGCUGAUGGCGCCCCUGGGCCCCGGGCCACGUCCUCCCCCACCCGCGAAACCCGUAAACCAGUCAGCACUCCACACACACACCGCCCCCUCCCCCCGCAAGGCCUCGGCCUGCGCCCGGGUCCCGACGCCAGCGACCAGCCUCAGCGUUCGCAGGGGGCUGGGGUGGGAGGUUAGAAGGGGCAAGCGCAGGUCGCCGGACCACGCCGCGGAGGUGGAUGGGGCGGAGGGAGUUGGUCCCCUCGGUCCGCCCCGCAGGUGGAGGGCUCCGGGGAGGCCUGGAGCCCCUGGCCACUGAGUAACGGGAUGUGAAGAAAGGGAGAAGAGGCAGGCUCUUUUCCCCCCCACACCCCACCCCACCCCAACCAAGUCACUGCAGGGUGUGGGGCUCAGACCAGGGGUGCUUGGCAGGCCGGCCCGGCUGAGGUAGGCCAAGGUUAAGGCCAGGGAAGAGGGCACGAGGCUUCCCCGCGGGGCUGCUUCACGUGGUGGCCACAGACCCGCAGACCGGCCAAAACCCAGCUCUGUCCCAGAGUUGGGUCAGCUACCCGGGCGACAGGAGGAUUCAGCCUCUGGUCCCAGGCUGCGACAGGAGGGGGCUUUGGGGGUUUUCUGUUUGUUUGGUUUUUCUUUAGGGGGAAAGACAGUCGGCAUGAACUGCCCUGCAGUGCCCAGGUCCCUCUAAACAGCAGCUGCACCCAGUCCGCUCAUCCCCAGCAGGCCUGGCCCUUUGGAGAAGAAGAUGGGACCAGAUGAGCUGACCGUCUUGUGGGCCAGCCAAAGCCUGGGGACUGGCUGUGUCACCAGAGGUGUCAUUUCCCAGCUGUCUGGGGAAGACUGAGAUGAUGGAGGUUUCUACAUUCACCUGCGUUUGAUAGCCAGAUCUCUGGGCCCCACUCCCAAGGCUCAUUCAAAAGAGGUUGGGGGGGGGGGGGGCAAGUUCAUUUCUAACAAGCACCUAUGGUGAUUCUGAUGUAGGCGGCACAGAGAAAAACUUUAAUAAAGGCUUUCUUUUAUUGCGGUUUC
Long non-coding RNA from Acinonyx jubatus (cheetah), 1217 nucleotides. RefSeq lists it as uncharacterized. Lineage: Eukaryota; Metazoa; Chordata; Mammalia; Carnivora; Felidae. The record is from RefSeq and is a predicted model, not a curated record. The transcript is spliced from 4 exons.